This 208-nucleotide ribosomal RNA is filed under the name uncultured bacterium. RNAcentral's name for it is "partial 16S ribosomal RNA". It matches the Rfam family "Bacterial small subunit ribosomal RNA", at positions 1293 to 1500 of the family's 1533-position model. The record is from RNAcentral.
UCGGAUUGUAGUCUGNAACCCGACUACAUGAAGCUGGAAUCGCUAGUAAUCGCGGAUCAGAAUGCCGCGGUGAAUACGUUCCCGGGUCUUGUACACACCGCCCGUCACACCAUGGGAGUCGGAAAUGCCCGAAGUCUGUGACCUAACCGAAAGGGAGGAGCAGCCGAAGGCAGGUCUGAUGACUGGGGUGAAGUCGUAACAAGGUAAC